Molecule: non-coding RNA, 20 nt
Filed under: Arabidopsis thaliana (thale cress)
Lineage: Eukaryota; Viridiplantae; Streptophyta; Magnoliopsida; Brassicales; Brassicaceae
Source: RNAcentral
GGUUAGGGAUGUUCUUGAGC